Papilio polytes (common Mormon) is the source of this 312-nucleotide long non-coding RNA. RefSeq lists it as uncharacterized. NCBI's taxonomy places the organism in Eukaryota, Metazoa, Arthropoda, Insecta, Lepidoptera, Papilionidae. The record is from RefSeq and is a predicted model, not a curated record. The transcript is spliced from 3 exons.
AUUUUUAAAAGCAUUAAAAGCGAAUUAAAAACACAUUUAAAGACAAACUUGUCUUGGAAGUUGUUGUGCAAACACAUCGGGGUUAAGAUGUUGCUAACAUUGUUGACUAGUGUUGCCGCCCUGGUGCUGCUCUGGCUGUUCAAGCAAUGGCAGGACAUGAGGCAAUUCUGGGCCAAAAGGCACGUGCCUCACAUGCCACCGCACCCGCUGCUUGGCAGCCUUACAUUUAUGAUGAAGAAAAACCCGGGCGUAUGGAUGCGGGAGUUGUCGGAACGUUUCCGCACGCCGUACGUUGGUGUGUGGUGGUUCGGA